UGCAAACACUAAUGCGCACUGAUUUUGACGUGCUAUUUGUUUGUUUGUUUGUUGUCGAAUAGCCUUUCCACAACGCCAACACCAUUACGAACGUGUUAAGACCGUGAGCGCAAGCGUACAUAACCGUAUUACCUUUGCUGCUGGUUGUUUGUUUCAUUGCUCUCUGGACUCAACAAAGCGUAACGCUUCAAAGCUUGACUUUCCAUCAAAGCUGCUGUUGCUGCUGAAGUUGUUGCUAUCAUAUCAUCGUCGUCGUCGUUGCGCCAACGUCCGUCAUCGCCAACGUUUCAGUUGGCUUCAUGAGGCCAACUUCGAAAUCACAGAGACUGACUUUGAGUUGAUGUUGUUCGAAAACGCACAUUUAGUUUUGCAUUAAUGAGAGCGUGAGUCGGUUGUCGUCGCUUAGAAAGAAAAAAAGGAGAAAAAAAAACCAAAAAUUUCAUUAGAAGAAAGUUGGAAAAA
Long non-coding RNA from Musca domestica (house fly), 462 nucleotides. RefSeq lists it as uncharacterized. NCBI's taxonomy places the organism in Eukaryota, Metazoa, Arthropoda, Insecta, Diptera, Muscidae. The transcript has 2 exons. The record is from RefSeq and is a predicted model, not a curated record.